GGGGGUUUGUCCUCCGAGCUGGGGUUGUGCCCGCCGCAGGGGUCCUGAGCACCCCGCUCCCAGGGUUUGAGCACUGGUGCUAUGGGCUGCGGCUGAGGGAGAUGGGAUGGUUCGGUCUGGAGAGGAGGAGGCUCGGGGGAGAGCUCGUUGUGCUCUGCACUCUCUGAAAGGAGGCUGUGGCGAAGUGGGGGUUGGGCUUUUUUUCUCAGGUAACAGCGAUAGGAUGAGAGGGAACGGCCUCAAGUUGUGCCAGGGGAGGUUCAGGUUGGACAUUGGGAAAAAUUCUUCUCCCAAAGUGGUGAUGCAUUGGCAUCAGCAAGGAUGCCCAGUGAGGUGAUGGAGUGACUGGCCCUGGAUGUGUUCAAGAACUGUGUAGAUGUGUCACUGAGGGAUGUGGUCAGUGGGCGCUAUUGGUGGCAGGUGGAUGGUUGAACUAGAUGAUCUUCGUGGUCUUUUCCAACCUUACUGAUUCAAUGACUCACAUCGGCCUUUCUCUCUUACCAGUGGGAAGUAAGGAGGAAGAAUGCUUAGAAGAAAGGCUGAUGGCCUGUUUCCACCAGCAGUGGAGGAAAGAGUGAGGCAGGACUGGGAAGGAUAAAGCUAUUGCUGCCAGCUGGGAGCCAACAGACAGGCUGAGUUUCACGAGCAGCACUGCACCAACUGACAGAUGUCAUGCCCAGGCUGGCCUGCUUUAUGUAAUUUCUGCUCAGCAAUGUCUAGACAUACGUGGGGAUAGAGGCGUGACUGUGUUUAGAAAUGGGACCUGCUGAGUGGGAGUCCCAUGUGGUUAAUGCAAAGGCAUGAACUCCCAAGAGCUUUGGUAGAAGAUGACGACUUUGAGAAGAAAUUCAGUCUGUGGAAGAUGCUGGAAAUGUUUGGUUUCCUUUCUGAUGAGAGCUUGCUUUUCUAUCCUGUUAAAACAUGAACCUCGAGGAGAAGACUUUACAGCAAGGGAGGGAGUUGGUUUACCUUUUCCCCCUGCUGAGCUGUUCUUCCAGUUUAUACCUGCUCAGUGUCAUUAUAGACUUGAGCUCUCACUACCAGUAACGCUUUUGGCAGAAGAGCCUGGUUCUGGCUGGAUAGAACUAGGAAGUACUUCUGCUACUGCUUCUGGGAAUGGCAGAUUUCUGUAUUUAUGGAUGCCUAUUACAAGAACAUCCCCAUUUGUGGGGAAUGCUCUUCAUGUACUGCUUAGAAAUGCACGUGAAACUCAGGUUGCCCAUUCUUUUGGGCUUUCUGACGACUUCCGUGCAGCACCCAGGUGUAUUAUAAGGCACUCAGAAUAAGGGAGAAAUUGCAAGAAAUGGUUCAGAGAAUAAAUAAGCAAAGGAGAUGAAUCUGGCAAAAUCAUUGGAUUUGGGUGAGUAGGGAUUUGUGGGAAUGAAUGCACUUUCUGUGUAAGAAAUGAAAUGUAGACACACAGAAGCGAACUACCUUCCCAAGGAGUUUCUGCAGAAGUAAUGCAUCUUCUGAACAAAGACCAGGUGGGAAAUGAAGUGUGAUGUAUAAAAGAGCAGUGCUGUAUGAGUGCACCCCUUCCCAUGCCUCAAAACUAAAAACUCAGGCCACUAGCAGAGAUAUAAAUGUAAGGAG
Molecule: long non-coding RNA, 1593 nt
Filed under: Gallus gallus (chicken)
Lineage: Eukaryota; Metazoa; Chordata; Aves; Galliformes; Phasianidae
Description: lncRNA (ENSGALG00010020694.1)
Source: RNAcentral